Long non-coding RNA from Leptopilina heterotoma, 1474 nucleotides. RefSeq lists it as uncharacterized. NCBI's taxonomy places the organism in Eukaryota, Metazoa, Arthropoda, Insecta, Hymenoptera, Figitidae. The record is from RefSeq and is a predicted model, not a curated record. The transcript is spliced from 4 exons.
UUUCACUCAUUAAUCUAUCUGUGAGUAGGAAAAGAAAAAUAAUUAGCCAAUAAGGAAAUAAGACGCCCAUUUCGUAUUUUGGCUUGAAAGUAAAAUUCCCCACUUUUCCUUUCUCCAUAAAAUUCUGUUCCUCUCUUUCUACCUGACCCGAAAAAUGGAGAAAACAUGAUACCCCCUUCUAAACUCAAAAAGUGGGCAUUACUUUCUUAACUAUUCGUCUCUCUUUCGCUCCCACUCUAAACUAAAAAGAGGAACAAUACCUCCCUCCCUCUCUUUCUCUCUCACUGUAAACAGAAUAUAUAAGAAAAGACUAACUUAAUAUAUAUAGAUAUAAUAAUAAUAUUCGCCUCUCUUUCGCUCCUACUCUAAACUAAAAGGAGAGGCGAUACUUCCCUCUCUUUCUCUCUAUCAACCUUUCUCUCUUACUGUGGACAGAAUGUACACUCGUGCGCAUUAAUGCCUUCCCUCAGGGAAGGCACUAAUCUUGAGUGUUUUGCCUCCGCUCUAUGUUAUUUCUAUGGCGUAGCGAUUAUUUGAGCGGAAUGUGGAACAGAAAUCUGACAUCUCGUAAAAGAAGAGUUGAGUAAUGGAAAUGACAGGAGUGACUAGAAGAUAUUUGGCGAUCACGGUCGAAUGGCAGUUAAUACGAGAGUAAAUAUUAAACUAUUUUUAUCAUCACAAGUAAAAAUUCAAUCUCGGAAUUUAUAGGAUUAUAAUUUAUGCGAUAGAGAUUGCAUUUUCAUUAACACUGUUGUAUUUUUGUGAAACGUUUUCAUUGACAGUAAUGCUGCAAAUAUUUUCAAGAAAACAUUAGCAUCCGAUAUACCAUCUUUAUGUUAAAGAUAAACAAUGAGUGCUGAAGAAUAAAUACAAGUGGCAAAAGGGUAAUUAAUUGGAUGUUUAUGGCAUGGAAAAGCAGAAUACAACAAUGACAAGACAUUAUUGACAAUUGCUUCUGUUCAUGAUAUUAGUGUAAUAGUGUUACCACUUUAUCAUUAUUUUUGUGAGCAUCGACAAUGGUUAAAAAGUGCAGAACAAGGAAGAAGAUAUUCAACAAAUUCACAUUUCUACUUUAUUAUUUUACAACACGUUACAUGUAACAUCAUUUGCCAAGAUGGUCUAAUAUGAUUGGUGCAUGCUUUAAAGGAUUUGUCAACCAAAUGCAGUCAACGAUAUCAAGAAAUAUGGAAAAAAUCUCAAUGGCUCAUAACUUUAUUCAAAUAGUAAAAUAGUCACGACGAGACGCAGUUAAAGCAAUGACAUUGUUAAUGAAAUUAACUAAGGAAAAGUAAAUAAUUGUAAUGAUACCUAUUUCCGAGGACUUUAUUGAUGUGUCAGUUUCCUAUUUACUAUUAAGAAAAAGUAAAGUUUUUACUUUUAUCUGAUAACUGUUUACAAAAAUUUGUAAUUAUUUAUUCAAAUUUAUUAUUUACUAAAACUAUAGCAAAUUUUAGGCCGAAAAAGAAAUAUUCAA